RNAcentral lists this ribosomal RNA (460 nucleotides) under uncultured bacterium. RNAcentral's name for it is "partial 16S ribosomal RNA". It matches the Rfam family "Bacterial small subunit ribosomal RNA", at positions 338 to 795 of the family's 1533-position model. The record is from RNAcentral.
CCUACGGGAGGCAGCAGUGAGGAAUAUUGGUCAAUGGACGCAAGUCUGAACCAGCCAUGCCGCGUGCAGGAAGACGGCUCUAUGAGUUGUAAACCGCUUUUGUACGAGGGUAACCGCAGAUACGUGUAUCUGUCUGAAAGUAUCGUACGAAUAAGGAUUGGCUAACUCCGUGCCAGCAGCCGCGGUAAUUCGGAGGAUUCAAGCGUUAACCGGAUUUAUUGGGUUUAAAGGGUGCGUAGGCGGUCGGAUAAGUUAGAGGUGAAAUUCCGAGGCUCAACUUCGGAAUUGCCUCUGAUACUGUUCGGCUAGAGAGUAGUUGCGGUAGGCGGAAUGUAUGGUGUAGCGGUGAAAUGCUUAGAGAUCAUACAGAACACCGAUUGCGAAGGCAGCUUACCAAGCUACUUCUGACGUUGAGGCACGAAAGCGUGGGGAGCGAACAGGAUUAGAUACCCCAGUAGUC